Molecule: ribosomal RNA, 468 nt
Filed under: uncultured bacterium
Lineage: Bacteria
Description: partial 16S ribosomal RNA
Rfam family: Bacterial small subunit ribosomal RNA
Source: RNAcentral
GACGAACGCUGGCGGCGUGCUUAAUACAUGCAAGUCGAACGGAAAGGCCCUGCUUUUGUGGGGUGCUCGAGUGGCGAACGGGUGAGUAACACGUGAGUAACCUGCCCUUUACUUUGGGAUAACUUUAGGAAACUGGGGCUAAUACCGGAUAGGAGCUCCUGUUGCAUGGUGGGGGUUGGAAAGUUUCGGCGGCUGGGGUUGGACUCGCGGCUUAUUAGCUUGUUGGUGGGGUUGUGGCUUACCAAGGCUUUGACGGGUAGCCGGCCUGAGAGGGUGACCGGCCACAUUGGGACUGAGAUACGGCCCAGACUCCUACGGGGGGCAGCAGUGGGAAAUAUUGCACGAUGGGCGGAAGCCUGAUGCAGCAACGCCGCGUGCGGGAUGACGGCCGUCGGGUUGUAAACCGCUUUCGCCUGUGACGAAGCGUGAGUGACGGUAAUGGGUAAAGAAGCACCGGCUAACUACGUG